Molecule: ribosomal RNA, 523 nt
Filed under: uncultured bacterium
Lineage: Bacteria
Description: bacterial SSU rRNA
Rfam family: Bacterial small subunit ribosomal RNA
Source: RNAcentral
CUGGCGGCAUGCCUAAGACAUGCAAGUCGAACGAGGUGGCCCAUUGAAGGUUGAGUGCUUGCACAAGACUGGAUUUGGAUUACCACCUAGUGGCAGACGGGUGAGUAACACGUGGUGACCUACCUUUAUGUUGGGGAUAACAGUUGGAAACGAUUGCUAAUACCGAAUGAUAUAUAAGAGUCAAUUUUAUAUUGAAAGGAGCCUUUAAAGCUUCGCAUAGAGAUGGGCCUGCGGCGUAUUAGCUAGUUGGUGAGGUAAUGGCUCACCAAGGUAACGAUGCGUAGCCGAACUGAGAGGUUGAUCGGCCACACUGGGACUGAGACACGGCCCAGACUCCUACGGGAGACAGCAGUUAGGAAUAUUCGUCAAUGGGGGGAACCCUGAACGAGCAAUGCCGCGUGAGUGAUGAAGGUCUUUGGAUCGUAAAACUCUGUUGUAUGGAAAGAAUGACUAGGUUAGGAAAUGAACUUAGUGUGACGGUACCAUACCAGAAAGCCCCGGCUAACUACGUGCCAGCAGCCGC